UUAGAUUGAUUAUUCAGUAAAUUUUUUUAUUUAAUUGUUAUAUUGGUUGUUUUGUUGUAGAGGAUGUUAGAGAAUAUGUUACAUUGCUAUCUACAAAUUCAAGAACUAAAUACCACAGUUGGAUGGAAAGCAAUUCGAUAUAUGCUGAUCCAAGGAAGUACAAAUAUGAAGAAUUUCAAGAGGAUUUGUUUGGUGUACUCAAGAUAAUCAGUGGAAGCAAAGGUCCAAAAAAAAAAAACUAUAAUUCAUUCGGAUUUGAUGAUCCUUAUAAUUGUAUUUUAAUGCUUUACGAUGCAUCUUCAAUUUUUCGGAAAAAAUAAUAUUGAGAUGUUUUUUUCCUAUUAGCGUCUAAAAUUUUUAGUUUAAUGAAAUUCGCUUUUUACAA
This 385-nucleotide long non-coding RNA is filed under the name Capsella rubella. RNAcentral's name for it is "long non-coding RNA (CRUB_LNC002144)". The record is from RNAcentral. Lineage: Eukaryota; Viridiplantae; Streptophyta; Magnoliopsida; Brassicales; Brassicaceae.